Molecule: long non-coding RNA, 452 nt
Organism: Xiphias gladius (swordfish)
Lineage: Eukaryota; Metazoa; Chordata; Actinopteri; Istiophoriformes; Xiphiidae
Exons: 3
Source: RefSeq, a predicted model, not a curated record
CCACCACACAGUUCCAACCCACACUCCAACUCCAGAAAACCUGCAUCUUAACCCUCCCUCUGGCACUAACAGUCAGAUUCAGCCCCACGCUUCACCCGAGAUUGUUGCCUCUUCCUGCAAACCUCAAAAACAUGACGCAGCUCCACUUCCAGCCUAUAGUCUACACGCACCCAACGUCACGGCAGCCGCAGCCACGGCAUGAUCAGCAAACAGCAGUUGGUCGACCAAUGAUUAUCCCAGAAGCAUCAACAGUCUCUGUGUGAGCUGCCAAAUAUGGUGAAGUCCAAGCUGUGUAACCUGCAUGACAGGUCCAACGAAGAGGUCCUACUACACCAUGAAGCAGCAGAGGCGAUAUAUGCAGCAGCCGUGACCCCUCAUCUGCUUCUGCUUCAUCUUAUUCCUCAACCCCAUCCUCUAAAAACACCAACGACUUCUGUUCCUCUCCCCAACGG